This is a long non-coding RNA of Dermacentor silvarum, 1367 nucleotides long. RefSeq lists it as uncharacterized. The transcript has 4 exons. NCBI's taxonomy places the organism in Eukaryota, Metazoa, Arthropoda, Arachnida, Ixodida, Ixodidae. The record is from RefSeq and is a predicted model, not a curated record.
AGUCAGCCUCGCACUAGUCAGUCACUUUUUGAACAUUAUUGUCAUCGAAAUUUGGUGCGAUGCCAAUGUCGUGUGUCGCUUACGGCUGCAGCUUCCAUGACCAUUCCAGCAGCACAGUGUGGUUUUUCCGAUUUCCGUCAGUAAAACGCGAUCGACAGCGCCGUGAAGCCUGGAUUAGGGCUGUGAAGCGGCAAGAUGCGCAAGGGCGUCCAUGGCAGCCGUCGGCAGCAUCUUGACUGUGCAGGAAGCACUUUGUGACAGGGGCACCUUCACUGUCACCCAGACCUCUGGACUUCAUACCGACGCUAUUUGUGUACAUGGACCAGUUCAAAAAAAAAAAAAUGGACGCUGUCGACCUGUUCGUACCGCGGCGCAUUCGAAGAGGAAAACAGGCACCCCCCAAACAGGAGGUGCAGCGGUUUCAGGUCAAGGAGGAGCUUGUUAAGGUCACCAUGAUGGGGAAGCAGACAUGUCCUGUGUUCAGGGUGCAGACUCUUCAUUCGAGGAGCAAGGGGCAGCUGAUGCACUCUUGCUGCUUGCAACAUCCCGAAUGCUCACCGAGCCACAGGAGGUCCUAGAGCCAACGUCCUUAAGCAGAGAAGAGAACACUGACCACCUUUUAGCUGAAAAUAUGGCCUUACAAUGCAGCAGGCACAAAGGCACACUUUCUCCUCCUACAAGCACUACAACACAUUCAAAGCACUUGUUGGAGUAACACCAGACGCUAUGUUUCAUUUGUGCCAGAUUUGUGGGGGAGAGCAUCUUAGUGAUAGCGAAGUUGUUGAAAAAUCAGGCCUAGUGGGUUUUUAGAUGCAGGGGAUGGUGUGAUGGUUGACAUAGGCUUUAGGUUGGAGGGUGUUUUGUCACCAUCUAUUCAAAUCCACAUGCCACCAUUUAAAAUGGGGAAUUAGUUGUCAGCUAAUGAUGUGAUUGCUACAUGAAAAAUAGCUGGCGCUAGGAUCCAUGUUGAGCGAGUUAUAAGAUGGAUCAAAGAAUUUCAUUUUUUAGACAAACCUCUGCCAAUCAACAUGCUCGACAUUGCGGACAGCAUUUCUAGGACUUGUGCCUUUCUGUGCAAUUUUCAGCACCCAAUCAUGUCAGUCCAUAAUGAGAACAAGUAGCCAGCUGAAACAGUUCAGCUACUCAAAAUGAGCCUCUUUGCAAUGCUCAUGACCAGAAGAAACUAGGGUAUGUACCGACAGUCUACUCUCGUGCCAUAUAGCAUGUGCUUACGACGCUGUCUACUGUACUACCUUCUGGGGCAAUUUGUAUCUUGCGUCUUUCUGAAUAAAUGAUACUGCUUUUCCAGUUCUCUUCCAUGUACACAGCAUAUAUUCAAAUUUUUUAUUAUGUUCAUAUACAUAAUG